ACGGGUGAGUAACACGUGGUCAACCUACCUUUAAGUGGGGGAUAACUAGCCGAAAGGUUAGCUAAUACCGCAUACGAUCUUCGCGUGGCAUCACAUGAAGAUGAAAGGAGCAAUCCGCUGAAAGACGGGACCGCGUCCCAUUAGCUAGAUGGUGGGGUAAUGGCCUACCAUGGCGACGAUGGGUAGCUGGCUUGAGAGAGCGACCAGCCACACUGGGACUGAGACACGGCCCAGACUCCUACGGGAGGCAGCAGUGAGGAAUUUUCCGCAAUGGGCGAAAGCCUGACGGAGCGACGCCGCGUGGGGGAUGAAGCUUUUCGGAGUGUAAACCCCUUUCGACCCGGACGAAUGCCCCGCAAGGGGACUGACGGUACGGGUAUAAGAAGCCCCGGCUAACUACGUGCCAGCAGCCGCGG
This 416-nucleotide ribosomal RNA is filed under the name uncultured bacterium. RNAcentral's name for it is "bacterial SSU rRNA". It matches the Rfam family "Bacterial small subunit ribosomal RNA", at positions 102 to 520 of the family's 1533-position model. The record is from RNAcentral.